RNAcentral lists this ribosomal RNA (861 nucleotides) under uncultured bacterium. RNAcentral describes it as "bacterial SSU rRNA". It matches the Rfam family "Bacterial small subunit ribosomal RNA", at positions 8 to 916 of the family's 1533-position model. The record is from RNAcentral.
AGAGUUUGAUCUGGCUCAGAACGAACGCUGGCGGCAGGCUUAACACAUGCAAGUCGAACGCUCGUAGCAAUACGGGAGUGGCAGACGGGUGAGUAACGCGUGGGAACAUACCCUCCGGUUCGGAAUAGCUCAGGGAAACUUGGAUUAAUACCGGAUACGGCUGAGAGGCGAAAGAUUUAUCGCCGGAGGAUUGGCCCGCGUUCGAUUAGCUAGUUGGUGAGGUAACGGCUCACCAAGGCGAUGAUCGAUAGCUGGUCUGAGAGGAUGAUCAGCCACAUUGGGACUGAGACACGGCCCAAACUCCUACGGGAGGCAGCAGUGGGGAAUAUUGGACAAUGGGCGCAAGCCUGAUCCAGCCAUGCCGCGUGAGUGAUGAAGGCCUUAGGGUUGUAAAGCUCUUUCGCUCGGGACGAUAAUGACGGUACCGAGAUAAGAAGCCCCGGCUAACUUCGUGCCAGCAGCCGCGGUAAUACGAAGGGGGCUAGCGUUGUUCGGAAUUACUGGGCGUAAAGCGCGUGUAGGCGGGUCUUUAAGUCAGGGGUGAAAUGCCAAGGCUCAACCUUGGAACUGCCUUUGAUACUGGAGAUCUUGAGUCCGGGAGAGGUGAGUGGAAUUGCGAGUGUAGAGGUGAAAUUCGUAGAUAUUCGCAAGAACACCAGUGGCGAAGGCGGCUCACUGGCCCGGAACUGACGCUGAGACGCGAAAGCGUGGGGAGCAAACAGGAUUAGAUACCCUGGUAGUCCACGCUGUAAACGAUGGAUGCUAGCCGUUGGGGAGCUUGCUCUUCAGUGGCGCAGCUAACGCUUUAAGCAUCCCGCCUGGGGAGUACGGUCGCAAGAUUAAAACUCAAAGGAAUGACGA